CAGAGGCCCCAAGCGUUACUGAGAAUCACUGGGUUUAAAGGGUGCGUAGGUGGCGCGUUAAGUCCGUUGUGAAAUCCCUGGGCUCAACCCAGGAAUUGCUUCGGAUACUGGCGUGCUUGAGGCUAGUAGGGGUCACUGGAACUGACGGUGGAGCGGUGAAAUGCGUAGAUAUCGUCAGGAACGCCAAUGGUGAAGACAGGUGACUGGGCUAGUUCUGACACUGAGGCACGAAAGCGUGGGGAGCGAACGGGAUUAGAUACCCCGGUAGUCCACGCCCUAAACGAUGCAGACUAGACUGCAGCGGGUUACACCCCGUUGCGGUCGGAGCGAAAUUGUUAAGUCUGCCACCUGGGAAGUACGGUCGCAAGGCUAA
This 373-nucleotide ribosomal RNA is filed under the name uncultured organism. Its description in RNAcentral is "bacterial SSU rRNA". It matches the Rfam family "Bacterial small subunit ribosomal RNA", at positions 526 to 897 of the family's 1533-position model. The record is from RNAcentral.